This 1316-nucleotide long non-coding RNA is filed under the name Anthonomus grandis grandis. Its description in RNAcentral is "uncharacterized LOC126749282". Lineage: Eukaryota; Metazoa; Arthropoda; Insecta; Coleoptera; Curculionidae. The record is from RNAcentral.
AACAUUGGAAAUAAUUUAAAAAAUUUGCUUUGGUCCGAUUGAAAAAAGUACUAUACUACCAAAUAGUUACAUCUAUUCUGUAGCAAUAAAAGUUAUAAAAUUCUGUCUAUUAUUAAUUUUAAUAUUAUAAAGUGUAUCGUUUAACUCUUAGCCAUUAUUUAUAAUUUAAUUGUUAAUUAUGCCUAAAAAAACGAAUUAACAACUUUGGUAUUGUUUGGAAGGUAAACAGCUUAAUUCCUUUAUGUAAAGCCACCUUAACAUGUUUUUGCAUAAUUCUGACUCACGUUGGUUGCUAUCGGGCUUAAGCCAUAAAAAUCGAAGAAAAAAAGAAGAAGACGAAGAGACUUUCACUUGUCAUUUCAAUGUCACUUUCCGGCCCACAAGCAUAAACGCCACCGGCAACGGAAGUUCCCAAAAUCCAAACAAAUGUUGGAAGAUAUUUUUAAGUCUCCGCAUCUUUCUUACUUUCCUAUAUGAAAAUAAAAUUGGACUACACCAACAAAGGUUAUGUGUUUUGCACCAGAUUGAAAGCAUCAUAGCGAAAAACGGACCUGUCAUAUCUUUAAAUUUUCAAAAAAGCCCCUGGAAAAAGAAAAAUGAAUAUCUUUGCCAAUGAAUAGGUACUAAGGCAAAUGGAUAAAAAACCUUCAGUCCAUGCAUUGGUAUGUAAUUGUUGACAAAAAUACAAUGAAUGGCCUCACUACUUUUCCACAUGCAAAGAGGUUAACCAAGGAGAAAUUAAAGAAAUUGUCAAAAACCUAGGUAAAUACAGAAUUGCUUAGUACAAACAUAUCUAUACCCAGUACAAGUUCGUCCACUUCUUUGAAGCAUGGUACUUCAAACAGAAACACUGUCAACAAUUUUGUAGAAGGUGAGCCGGUGUCAAAUUCCAGUAAGGGACAUGAUUUCAAUUUUGCACCAACAGCAGAGCUAAAAUUCAUUUUGCCGCAAAAAACUGGAGGAUGUGAAAGAAAAAAGUGCAGAAGUUAAAAUUAAGUUUUUCAUAUGAGCACAUAAAAAAUAAUCAUGACAAAGUUCAGUUGUAUACAGGUUUGACAUGUAAUAAAUAUUUUUGUAAUCUUAUUAAGUUAAUUAGUUUUAUAUAUUAUUUAAAUAAUAAUUGUAUACUUCACAUAGAAUAUGCAGAAAUUAUAUGUACAUAUAUAAAUUUUUUUAUUAAGAUAAGGACAACAUGUAUUAAAGCAUAACACAUAAUAUAAACACACACGUAAUAUCUUCAUUAAAAAUUAUGAUUGUAUGUUAUGUAGCAUUAGAGCCUAAAAACAUUAAGGAGAAUAAAGGUCGUUAUUGGCAAA